RNAcentral lists this ribosomal RNA (230 nucleotides) under uncultured bacterium. Its description in RNAcentral is "partial 16S ribosomal RNA". It matches the Rfam family "Bacterial small subunit ribosomal RNA", at positions 93 to 339 of the family's 1533-position model. The record is from RNAcentral.
GAGUGGCGCACGGGUGAGUAACGCGUGGGGAUCUGCCUCGAAGUGGGGAAUAACCGCUGGAAACGGCGGCUAAUACCGCAUACGCCCUCAGGGGGAAAGCUUUAUGCGCUUCGAGAUGAACCCGCGUCGGAUUAGCUAGUUGGUGAGGUAAAGGCUCACCAAGGCGACGAUCCGUAGCUGGUCUGAGAGGAUGAUCAGCCACACUGGGACUGAGACACGGCCCAGACUCC